AUGGAUAUAAAGUACCGCCAAGUCCUUUGAGUUUUAAGCUGUGGCUAGUAGUUCUCUGGCAAAUAGUUUUGUUAAAUUUAAUUAUUUAGGUUUAUGGCUAA
Molecule: ribosomal RNA, 101 nt
Filed under: unidentified
Description: partial 12S ribosomal RNA
Source: RNAcentral